CAAUGUAUGCUUUGGAAACUGUUAGACUUGAGUGCAGAAGGGGAGAGUGGAAUUCCAUGUGUAGCGGUGAAAUGCGUAGAUAUAUGGAGGAACACCGGUGGCGAAAGCGGCUCUCUGGUCUGUCACUGACGCUGAGGCUCGAAAGCGUGGGUAGCGAACAGGAUUAGAUACCCUGGUAGUNCACGCCGUAAACGCUGAGUGCUAGGUGUUAGGUCCUUUCCGGGACUUAGUGCCGACGCUAACGCAUUAAGCACUCCGCCUGGGGAGUACGACCGCAAGGUUGAAACUCAAAGGAAUUGACGGGGGCCCGCACAAGCGGUGGAGCAUGUGGUUUAAUUCGAAGCAACGCGAAGAACCUUACCAGGUCUUGACAUCCCGAUGCCCGCUCUAGAGAUAGAGUUUUUCUUCGGAACAUCGGAGACAGGUGGUGCAUGGUUGUCGUCAGCUCGUGUCGUGAGAUGUUGGGUUAAGUCCCGCAACGAGCGCAACCCUUAUUGUUAGUUGCCAUCAUUAAGUUGGGCACUCUAGCGAGACUACCGGUAAUAAACCGGAGGAAGGUGGGGAUGGCGUCAAAUCAUCAUGCCCCUUAUGACCUGGGCUACACACGUGCUACAAUGGUUGGUACAACGAGUCGCAAGCCGGUGACGGCAAGCUAAUCUCUGAAAGCCAAUCUCAGUUCGGAUUGUAGGCUGCAACUCGCCUACAUGAAGUCGGAAUCGCUAGUAAUCGCGGAUCAGCACGCCGCGGUGAAUACGUUCCCGGGCCUUGUACACACCGCCCGUCACACCACGAGAGUUUGUAACACCCAAAGUCGGUGAGGUAACCAUUUAUGGGGCCAGCCGCCUAAGGUGGGANGGAUGAU
RNAcentral lists this ribosomal RNA (862 nucleotides) under uncultured bacterium. RNAcentral's name for it is "bacterial SSU rRNA". It matches the Rfam family "Bacterial small subunit ribosomal RNA", at positions 615 to 1475 of the family's 1533-position model. The record is from RNAcentral.